This 115-nucleotide microRNA precursor is filed under the name Onchocerca volvulus. Its description in RNAcentral is "pre miRNA OVOC13375". The stretch from base 14 to 84 matches the Rfam family "mir-50 microRNA precursor family". The record is from RNAcentral. Lineage: Eukaryota; Metazoa; Nematoda; Chromadorea; Rhabditida; Onchocercidae.
ACUUCCUGCAUAUGCAGUGUUGAUAUGUCUGAUAUUCUUGGGUUGUGCAAAGUCAACCAGCAUCUCAGACGUAUCGACCACUGUGUAUUGCUCCAUAUCCAUCUAGCCUUCCAAU